This 923-nucleotide small RNA is filed under the name uncultured Panaeolus. RNAcentral describes it as "eukaryotic LSU rRNA". The stretch from base 637 to 923 matches the Rfam family "Eukaryotic large subunit ribosomal RNA", at positions 1 to 281 of the family's 3401-position model. Lineage: Eukaryota; Fungi; Basidiomycota; Agaricomycetes; Agaricales; Bolbitiaceae. The record is from RNAcentral.
CUUGGUCAUUUAGAGGAAGUAAAAGUCGUAACAAGGUUUCCGUAGGUGAACCUGCGGAAGGAUCAUUAUCGAAUAAACUAGGUGGGUUGUUGCUGUCCCUCUCGGGGGAAUUGUGCACGCCCUACCUUUUUUGUUUUUCCACCUGUGCACACACUGUAGGUCUGGAGGGGAAGGGAGGCAACUCCCUGACGUUUCAGGUCCUAUGUCUUUACACAUACACUAUUAAAAGUAACAGAACGAUUCAAUGGGCUCUAAGCCUAUAAACUAUAUACAACUUUCAGCAACGGAUCUCUUGGCUCUCGCAUCGAUGAAGAACGCAGUGAAAUGCGAUAAGUAAUGUGAAUUGCAGAAUUCAGUGAAUCAUCGAAUCUUUGAACGCACCUUGCGCUCGUUGGUAUUCCGACGAGCAUGCCUGUUUGAGUGUCAUUAAAUUCUCAACCUCAUCGCUUUUGUGAUGAUGGCUUGGAAGUGGAGGUUUUUUGCAGGCUGAAAAGUCUGCUCCUCUCAAAUGAAUUAGUGGGUGCCCCGCGCAAACCUAUCUAUUGGUGUGAUAAUUAUCUACGCCGUGGAUCCUCAGGAUUGCUGUAAAAAGGUGUUUGCCCUGCUUCUAACCGUCUUCGGACAACUUGAACCAUUUGACCUCAAAUCAGGUAGGACUACCCGCUGAACUUAAGCAUAUCAAUAAGCGGAGGAAAAGAAACUAACAAGGAUUCCCCUAGUAACUGCGAGUGAAGCGGGAAAAGCUCAAAUUUAAAAUCUGGCAGUCUUUGAUUGUCCGAGUUGUAAUCUAGAGAGGCAUUAUCCGCGCUGGACCGUGUACAAGUCUCCUGGAAUGGAGCGUCAUAGAGGGUGAGAAUCCCGUCUUUGACACGGACUGCCAGGGCUUUGUGAUGUGCUCUCAAAGAGUCGAGUUGUUUGGGAAU